UGGUUAAGCUACUAAGAGCACACGGAGGAUGCCUAGGCGCUAGGAGCCGAUGAAGGACGUGGCGAA
Molecule: ribosomal RNA, 66 nt
Filed under: Paenibacillus xylanilyticus
Lineage: Bacteria; Bacillati; Bacillota; Bacilli; Caryophanales; Paenibacillaceae
Description: partial 23S ribosomal RNA
Source: RNAcentral